RNAcentral lists this ribosomal RNA (253 nucleotides) under uncultured bacterium. RNAcentral's name for it is "partial 16S ribosomal RNA". It matches the Rfam family "Bacterial small subunit ribosomal RNA", at positions 524 to 776 of the family's 1533-position model. The record is from RNAcentral.
UACGUAGGGUGCGAGCGUUGUCCGGAAUUAUUGGGCGUAAAGGGCUCGUAGGCGGUUUGUCGCGUCGGGAGUGAAAAUCCAGGGCUUAACUCUGGACUGGCUUCCGAUACGGGCAGACUAGAGGUAUGCAGGGGAGAACGGAAUUCCUGGUGUAGCGGUGAAAUGCGCAGAUAUCAGGAGGAACACCGGUGGCGAAGGCGGUUCUCUGGGCAUUACCUGACGCUGAGGAGCGAAAGUGUGGGGAGCGAACAAG